UACGAAGGGGGCUAGCGUUGCUCGGAAUUACUGGGCGUAAAGCGCACGUAGGCGGCUCUUUAAGUCGGGGGUGAAAUCCUGGAGCUCAACUCCAGAACUGCCUUCGAUACUGUAGAGCUUGAGUUCGGGAGAGGUGAGUGGAACUGCGAGUGUAGAGGUGAAAUGCGUAGAUAUAUGGAGGAAUACCGGUGGCGAAGGCGGCCUCCUGGCUCGACACUGACGCUGAGGUGCGAAAGCGUGGGGAUCAAACAGG
RNAcentral lists this ribosomal RNA (253 nucleotides) under uncultured bacterium. RNAcentral's name for it is "partial 16S ribosomal RNA". It matches the Rfam family "Bacterial small subunit ribosomal RNA", at positions 524 to 776 of the family's 1533-position model. The record is from RNAcentral.